Long non-coding RNA from Acyrthosiphon pisum (pea aphid), 338 nucleotides. RefSeq lists it as uncharacterized. The record is from RefSeq and is a predicted model, not a curated record. The transcript is spliced from 2 exons. NCBI's taxonomy places the organism in Eukaryota, Metazoa, Arthropoda, Insecta, Hemiptera, Aphididae.
CAAAAGUAUAUCUCCGCAAGCGAUGAUGUGAAGGUGCAACAAUCUAACUUACAUCCAACCAUCAUAUAUUAUGGCUAUAUUAUAACAGUUUUCAAAUCCAAGAUAUUACGUACAAUAUCCAACGCGCCUUGGUUCAUCAAAAACGAAGCACUCCAUACCGACUUCAAACUCCUAUCAAUCAAAGACUACAUACACAAUCUAACGAUAAUUUUUUUUGGACAACUAAACAACACCAGUAGCGAGAAACAUUUCAAACUCAGCGAUAGUCCUACCCUCCGGCGUCUCGAGCGUGGACGUCCUCAUGAUGCCCUAUCUCAACUCCAAUAAUAAUAAUAAUA